AUACGGAGGGUGCAAGCGUUAAUCGGAAUUACUGGGCGUAAAGCGCGCGUAGGCGGCUUGGUAAGUCGGAUGUGGAAUCCCCGGGCUUAACCUGGGAAUUGCAUUCGAUACUGUCAGGCUAGAGUGUGGUAGAGGGAAGUGGAAUUUCCGGUGUAGCGGUGAAAUGCGUAGAUAUCGGAAGGAACACCAGUGGCGAAGGCGGCUUCCUGGACCAACACUGACGCUGAGGCGCGAAAGCGUGGGGAGCAAACAGGAUUAGAAACCCUAGUAGUCC
Molecule: ribosomal RNA, 274 nt
Filed under: uncultured bacterium
Lineage: Bacteria
Description: partial 16S ribosomal RNA
Rfam family: Bacterial small subunit ribosomal RNA
Source: RNAcentral